AGAGUUUGAUCCUGGCUCAGAAUCAACGCUGGCGGCGUGCCUCAGACAUGCAAGUCGAACGCGAAAGGCCCCUUCGGGGGCCGAGUAGAGUGGCGCACGGGUGAGUAACACGUAGGUAAUCUACCUCUGGGUGGGGAAUAACGACCGGAAACGGUCGCUAAUACCGCAUAAUGCAGCGGCACCACAUGGUGACAGUUGUUAAAGCGGGGGAUCGUAAGACCUCGCGCCUAGAGAUGAGCCUGCGGCGGAUUAGCUAGUUGGCAGGGUAACGGCCUACCAAGGCGACGAUCCGUAGCCGGCCUGAGAGGGCGGACGGCCACACUGGCACUGACAUACGGGCCAGACUCCUACGGGAGGCAGCAGUCGGGAAUUUUGGGCAAUGGGCGAAAGCCUGACCCAGCAACGCCGCGUGAAGGAUGAAGCUUUUCGGAGUGUAAACUUCAUAAGA
RNAcentral lists this ribosomal RNA (448 nucleotides) under uncultured bacterium. RNAcentral describes it as "bacterial SSU rRNA". It matches the Rfam family "Bacterial small subunit ribosomal RNA", at positions 8 to 439 of the family's 1533-position model. The record is from RNAcentral.